Molecule: unclassified non-coding RNA, 242 nt
Filed under: fungal sp.
Lineage: Eukaryota; Fungi
Description: partial internal transcribed spacer region
Rfam family: Eukaryotic small subunit ribosomal RNA (bases 1-46)
Source: RNAcentral
AAGUCGUAACAAGGUUUCCGUAGGUGAACCUGCGGAAGGAUCAUUAACACUAAUGAAAUCCAAAACCUUUUGGAUCAACCCAACCUUAGCGAACCGUUCGUAUUUUCCCUUGCCCAAUUUUACCAAACGCAAAAAACUCUGAUGUAAAGUGUCUGAUUCUUAUUCUCGUUUUUGGUUGUAACGACCAGCGGGAAUCAAAAUCUAACGCAAUACAACUCUUAACAACGGAUAUCUUGGCUCUC